CCUACGGGGGGCAGCCGUGGGGAAUAUUGGGCCAUGGGCGCAAGCCUGACCCAGCAACGCCGCGUGAAGGAAGAAGGCUUUCGGGUUGUAAACUUCUUUUGUCAGGGACGAAGCAAGUGACGGUACAUGACGAAUAAGCCACGGCUAACUACGUGCCAGCAGCCGCGGUAAUACGUAGGUGGCAAGCGUUAUCCGGAGUUAUUGGGUGUAAAGGGCGUGUAGGCGGGAAUGCAAGUCAGAUGUGAAAACUAUGGGCUCAACCCAUAGCCUGCAUUUGAAACUGUAUUUCUUGAGUGCUGGAGAGGCAAGCGGAAUUCCGGGUGUAGCGGUGAAAUGCGUAGAUAUACGGAGGAACACCAGUGGCGAAGGCGGAUUGCUGGACAGUAACUGACGCUGAGGCGCGAAAGCGUGGGGAGCAAACAGGAUUAGAUACCCCAGUAGUC
RNAcentral lists this ribosomal RNA (443 nucleotides) under uncultured bacterium. RNAcentral's name for it is "partial 16S ribosomal RNA". It matches the Rfam family "Bacterial small subunit ribosomal RNA", at positions 338 to 795 of the family's 1533-position model. The record is from RNAcentral.